CACGGCACUGCCGCGCCGAGCCCUCCGGGAACGGGCCGAGCCCUCCGGCAGCCGGGAUGAGGAGCCCGCGGUGAGCACUGCCCCGGUGUUGGGGCCUUCGGUAGCGCUGAGCUGAUGCCUGCACCCUCCUACAUGCAGUUUCCACAUCGAUGCAAUGGAUGCUGCUGAGGAGGAACCACCUCAGUUUGAUCUUUGUAAGCUGCUGCUGCUCAGCCUCCACGGACAGUUCUGGCAGUGCACUUGAAUAAGGCUGCAAAGAGAGCAAAAGCAGAAGAGCUGAUGUCCUGAGCUGGCGUGAGGAAGCCCAGGCAGACACACCAAUACACAGCAUACAGUUUUUCUUUUAGCUCAGUCCUUGAGAGGUCCUGCAGAUGCCACUGACAUUCUCCUGGAAGAACCUUCCAUCCUCUUCCUGGUCAGGAAAGGGACACAACAGGGCCCUGAAAAAAUGACUGGAUGGAGGGUGAAGGUGCUGAGAGUGGAGUUGUUCUGUGUUUGAGAGAAACUGUGGAUGAACAUCCUUUAUGGAGCACUGUGGUGUCCCUGCCUGCCCUUCACACCAAAUGGGCUCGAAAGACGAGCAUGCAUCUGCCUGACAGCUUUCAGAGUGAGCCAUCCCUGCCAGCCAAAGCAGAUUCUCUGUGCCUGCUUCCAAGCUGAAACAACUGGUGGCAGAGUGGGGUGUCUCUCCAGUCCUAGCCAUGAAGAGAGGAGAUGAAACAUCCUCCUGCUCACAGCACAGGGAAGAGGCUGGAGCUGGGCUGCUGUCUCCACACCUGUAGAACUGUGGUGAAAUGGGGAUUCUUUGUGUUUCAUUGGCUUCUCUGAGGAAAACAGUGACCAUGAGAUGAGACAGAGCCUCAGGGGGAAAGGACACUUGGAGCACCUGUACCGAAAGGAGAAGGCGAAGAAGCCUGUGAGCAUUCCCUGCCUCCUCUGAUCUUAUGCAGAUUCUAAACACAGGUUUUCUCCAUGGCUUUGUUCACCAUUAAGCAAACCCUGGAUCCUUGGGAACCACAAGCAGGACCCGAGUGUCACCCAGAGCUGCAUCUCCCCCUCUGUGUCCUGCCAAAGAGGAGUUGCCCACAGGACACUCAGGCACAGAUUCUGGAGUGUCUCUAAAGCCAUUUUUGUUCAGAAAUUCCUGUUGUUGUUGUUCCCGCUGACCUCUGUGGGCUGUAUCUUUUCCAGACAUUUCUGACGUUUCUCACAGGGUAAUCGGUGAAUGUCACAGACAACAAUUCUGCUGACUUCACUUUGGCUUCUGUUCCCCAUUGGAUGGGCUCCUCUCUUGAUGGGGGAACGCCUCCAGCCAAAAAGAGAGGAAAAAGCCCCCAGCCCCUGAGCUAAGUGAAAGCAGGCCCGAAGGGAAGCGCGUUCCUGCCGCAGUGCCUCUCGCUGCCUGGCUCCUGUUCCGUGCUUGGGGAUGAGCCAGACUCCAGUGCCUCCGUGCUUUUGAUUCCUGUUUAUCCCCAGCAACAUGAUUGUCUGUAAUUAUAUAUAAUCUCCUCCUUGUUUACUCUUCUUCCUCCAGGUCUGAACGCAAGCUCGAUGGCAACUCUGUGCUCCGUCUGCCAGGGCUCCAGCUCCAGCCGCUCCUCUCCAUCCUCCACCUUCUUUUUCCAAAGUAACAAAGCCAUUGGAUUUCCUCCCACCCCUUCCCUGCGCCUCCCCUCCCCCUCGCUGGCACCGGGGUUAUUUAUACAGAAUGUGGAAACAAUUUGCAGGAAAGGGAACAAUGUAAGCGGGAGCGAGGGAAGGGAGGCGAGUUUGCAGUGCACGCUGAGAGCCCCGGCGGUGGAACGCUGCUUUUGGGGGAGCACGGGGGGCAGGCUGUUUUCCUUUCUUCCUUCUCCCCUCUCCCACCGUCUCCCUGAGCUCCUUCUAUCCUGCUGGAGUCGAGGCCAAACCAGAGCAACGAGAUCUGAGUGAGUUUUGGAGGCUGUUCAGGCUGGAUCCCGCCCUGCGCUGCAGCUCCGUGAGGCGGUAUCUGUGUACUUAAUCCCCUCAGAGGUUCUGCUCUCGCAUCAUCCCUGCUCCUGGAUUAGCAUUAAUGAACAGCAUGUGUGCUCCAGAGGUCCUGCUCCAGGCCCUGGAGCUGCAGCACUGCCUGGUGUUACACACAGCUAUUCCCAGGAACAGUUCUGCUCAAAGAGGACAUUUCUGGGAGUGAACGAGGCAGGAACUUCUUGCAAAGUCUGAUUUCAGUCUUUCUGCCCUCACCUGCUCAGCACUGAAUUUCCAGGGCAUCCCAGCACCUUGCUGGCUCCAUUGGGAGUGUGUCUGUAAAUCCAGCAGUUUCCCUGAGUGCUCUGGGCUGGGGAAGCUGAACCAGCACUCACUCAGCACCUCUGAGCAGUUCUGGGCUCUUCAGACCUUGCUCUGCAUGGUGAAGUCCUCAAAGAGAGAUAACCCAAACCCACACAUCCUUUGGGGAAGGGCCAUAGGCAUUGCAGAUGGAAGGGAAUGUUCUCCUGGUUCCAGGCUGGAGCAGAGCAGCUGCCCUGGCCACAGUGGGGGCCUCCUGCCCUGCAGGGAAUCUCCUUUCCCAACAGCCUCCAGCCCUGGAUGGGAUCGGUGCAUUGUGCUGAGCUGGUAGGGCAGGGCCAGGGAGCUGCCAAGUAGGACAGUGUGUUCCUCCCUAAAGCAGGCAGAUUCCUGGCUGAGAGCUGGUGCAGCUGAUCCACUGUGCUCCAGUGGUACAGAGGGACAGUCAGAAGGAACCUCUGGUGGGCUUUUCCUUCCUGAGAAUCCAUCCUCUCCACUUCCCAGUUCUUCCUGCUCCUUCUCAGUCAUUGUCCACACACACAGAGUGUGAACUUCCCCUGGAUGUUUGCUCUGGAACCGGCCAUGUCUGCUCUCCCACGUGGAAGGGGAGGUGGGUCUGCACAGGCUGGGCCUCCCAGAGCUCAGGGCACAGCAGAGCCUCUUCCAAAUGCUGCUCCCUUUAGCCAGUCCUUGCCUGAGUUACCAACUCCAGGAGUGAAGCCCAGGAAGGGCUGGAGCAAAGACACUUCGGCCACUGAUGUUCUCUGGUCAGAGCAGUUCAGCUCUUUGGAUUCUCCUAUUUCUCCUGACUCUGAGAAGGGCCCAGGAAAACAAUUUCUGUUUUCCCUUCCAAUCCAGGCACCAGCAUGGACUGGGAGCAGACAGAACCCAGGCCCAGCAGAGCUGGGGAUCACUGGUUCCCACUGCAGCCACGCCGCGUCCAGGAGCACAGCAUGAGCCACAGCCUGGCUGCUUCCCAUCCCUGCUCCUGGCAGGAGCCUGGUGCUGUCUGAGCACCUGCCCAGGCUUGUUCCUCACUGUGCUUCCCUGCUGGCAAAGGCAGGGAUAGGGGAGAGCUUGAAUCCAUCAGCCUCUGGAGAGAGCACCCCUCGUGCAGGCUCGGGCAGGAGGGCAGCAGCUCUGCUGCUCACAGGGGCCUCUGGGCAGACACAGACAUCUUCAGUCUCUCUCUGACUCCCAAGGGUCUCCCCUCAUCUUCUGGAGAGAUGCAGCCUUGAGUUCCACUGCAUGGAAAGAUCUCAACUCACUUUUGACAGGUUUGGGCAAAGUGGAGGCUUGAAGCUCCUACAGAGACUAAACUGCAGAGACCGGAGGGACCAAGGUAAUUUCAGGGCAACAGCCAUUGGAACACUUGUGCUUUUUCCCUUCUGGUUCUAAGUGUUCAAAUUCUCACCAAAAUAUAAGACAAACUCUCCUUGGAAUGACUGUGCUGCUGAAAACAUUUGGAAUUUCCUCUUUCAUCUGUUUUUUUCUCUUUUUAAAAAUUAUUUUGAAGGUUCUUUAGAUGAGAACAGAUUUGCAUUCCUCUCUCCCUGCUGCUCACUUCCCACCUGAAAUCUUCAGCUGCUCUUUGCAGUUCCCAACACAAUGGUGAGUGAAAUCCUGAACAGAGCAUUCAAACUUGAGGUGAGGAAAAGCAACAGCAGCAGAUGGGCUUGUAAACAGCAGAGACCUGGCUCAGGCACAGAGGUCCUGGUGGAGCAGGAAGGAGCAGGAGGUCAGCAGAGUUGGGAGUAACUUCACCGAUACAAAAUUGCCAAAAGUUACCUGCAAGUUUGCAGCUGGACAGAGGAAAAAGAAACCCAGAGCAGAGUCCCCACAGGUGGAAGGAAAAAGCAGAAUAAGGAGGCUCAGUUCCAUAGUUUAUUGAGCCCAGAGGGAUUUCUACAAACCACAUGGCAUCAGGUGUCAAAGAAAUGAGGAAUGAAAACCAACGUGGAACAAGGGAGCAGCCCAAAACUCCCACAGCCCAGCAAAGCUCCAGAAAGGGAGAAUCUGCACAUCCUGUGGAGUCCAGGAUCACAGAAAGAGACUGAUGAAAGAAGGUUCUGGGCUGGGAUUCUGGAGAGGGCUGGCUCCAAAUAAAAGGAGGAAUCCGCCUCACAAAGUGCAUGUCACCCAAAAGAAGGAAUCUGCCUCACAAAGGGCAUGUCACCCAAAAGAAGGAAUCUGCCUCACAAAGUGUAUGUCACCCAAAAGAAGGAAUCUGCCUCACAAAGUGCAUGUCACCUAAAAGAAGGAAUCUGCCUCACAAAGUGCAUGUCACCUAAAAGAAGGAAUCUGCCUCACAAAGUGCAUGUCACCUAAAAGAAGGAAUCUGCCUCACAAAGUGCAUGUCACCUAAAAGAAGGAAUCUGCCUCACAAAGGGCAUGUCACCUAAAAGAAGGAAUCUGCCUCACAAAGUGCAUGUCACCUAAAAGAAGGAAUCUGCCUCACAAAGGGCAUGUCACCUAAAAGGAGGAAUCUGCCUCACAAAGGGCAUGUCACCUAAAAGGAGGAAUCUGCCUCACAAAGGGCAUGUUGCCUUGUUUGUUACUUCCAUGGGCUUCAUUCCUUCCAAACCAUUUUCUUCUCUGACAUUCCUGUUGUAAUUAUGGGAUGGAAAAGCCACCCCAAGGCCCCUCUCGGGCAGUGGGUUUGGCUGGUGCCUGUUCCUGUGGGGUGCCAGGCAGGUAUUUGCAGGUAUUUACACCCCAGAGGGCUCCCAGAGCACCGGGAUUUACAGCAGGGGCCCCCCGGUGCUGUCAGGGCAGCGCUGCUGCUGCCACCCGAGUGUCUGCACACCUUCCCAGGGCCUGGCAUGGCCCCAGGGCUGCUGGACAUGCCUCUGCUCACAGCUCAUUCUGGCCACUGGGUGGAACAGGAUCGGGCCCUGCUGGAGCUUUUCAGCCCGGAGCACCCUCAGGCCAGUGGCCAGGGCUCAGGUUUCCAGGGUUUGGCAGGAGGGCUGCUCAGAUGAAACCUCUCUCUGCUCCUUCUGGAGGAUUUACACUGCCACAAGUCCUCAUUUUUUCCAGAUGUUUUACCUAAUAAAUCAAGGAGUCUCAUCAGAGGAUUGGGAUCCAAAAACUGUUACCAUGACUUCAAAGGCACAGGCUGGAGUGGAAAGAAGUGGUGCAGACAUUUUAUACCACUCUGUAUGAUCAUGAAAAUACACUCUGCUCCCAGGAUUUUUUUGCUGUGGAUACCAGAACUCCAACCAUGAUUAAGUAAAAUGGUGCUGUGCUCCCUCAGCCAACCUUUGCUGAAAAUGGAGCUGAAGGAGCCUGAGGCUCUGGGGCUGGCAGGAACCAGGCUGGGGCUGGUCCUGAGAGGGGCUGAGCUCUGCCAGCCCCUGUCCAAAAUCCUGCAGCAUUAACUCAGGGCUGAACUCACUCCAUCUUUUCAGAUCAAUAUUCAGCUGCAUAUUUUCUCCCAGUGCUGGUUUAGGCAAUUCCCACAUAAGGAAUCAGAUGUUCAUCUUCUUCAGAUGUUGGGAGAGAAAAAGAUAAAAAGAGUUACAUGGCUGUAAAAUGUGAUUGUGACUAUUCAGACCAGUUUGUUCCUUGAUCAAGAAUGUAACUUUUUUUUUUUUGUAGUGAAGGCUUUUUACAGUGUCUACAUGGUGUCAUUUUCU
Long non-coding RNA from Melospiza melodia melodia, 5906 nucleotides. RefSeq lists it as uncharacterized. Lineage: Eukaryota; Metazoa; Chordata; Aves; Passeriformes; Passerellidae. The record is from RefSeq and is a predicted model, not a curated record. The transcript has 11 exons.